UAGGGAAUCUUCGGCAAUGGGGGGAACCCUGACCGAGCAACGCCGCGUGAGUGAAGAAGGUUUUCGGAUCGUAAAGCUCUGUUGUUAAGGAAGAACGAGUGUGAGAAUGGAAAGUUCAUACUGUGACGGUACUUAACCAGAAAGGGACGGCUAACUACGUGCCAGCAGCCGCGGUAAUACGUAGGUCCCGAGCGUUGUCCGGAUUUAUUGGGCGUAAAGCGAGCGCAGGCGGUUAGAUAAGUCUGAAGUUAAAGGCAGUGGCUCAACCAUUGUAGGCUUUGGAAACUGUUUAACUUGAGUGCAGAAGGGGAGAGUGGAAUUCCAUGUGUAGCGGUGAAAUGCGUAGAUAUAUGGAGGAACACCGGUGGCGAAAGCGGCUCUCUGGUCUGUAACUGACGCUGAGGUUCGAAAGCGUGGGUAGCAAACAGG
This 429-nucleotide ribosomal RNA is filed under the name Bacteroidota bacterium. RNAcentral describes it as "Bacteroidetes bacterium partial 16S ribosomal RNA". It matches the Rfam family "Bacterial small subunit ribosomal RNA", at positions 355 to 776 of the family's 1533-position model. The record is from RNAcentral. Lineage: Bacteria; Pseudomonadati; Bacteroidota.